AUGUUUUCUGAUUAUGAUCUGGAGAGGCUUGCUGCCGAGACUGAAGGUAAAUUCCAUCUUCCGUUCUAUGCUCAUUCUGAAAUGAUGGCGCUGCUGUGGUCCUUGAUGAGGAAGCAUAUCUAUAUGUCCCUAGGGUAUUCUGGGAGUGACCUGAGAGCCUUGUGCGAGGAAGCUACAAUGAUGUCCAUCAGUGAGCUCGGUGCACAGAACAUUCUCAGUACUAAAGCAAACCAGGUGCUUCUUCUGCAGUUUCUGAACUUUGUAUACCGAACCGCCAACCCUGCUGUUUAA
This 291-nucleotide ribosomal RNA is filed under the name Triticum aestivum (bread wheat). RNAcentral's name for it is "partial small subunit ribosomal RNA". Lineage: Eukaryota; Viridiplantae; Streptophyta; Magnoliopsida; Poales; Poaceae. The record is from RNAcentral.